RNAcentral lists this long non-coding RNA (307 nucleotides) under Elaeis guineensis (African oil palm). Its description in RNAcentral is "long non-coding RNA (EGUI_LNC049922)". The record is from RNAcentral. Lineage: Eukaryota; Viridiplantae; Streptophyta; Magnoliopsida; Arecales; Arecaceae.
GGCUGGUGGGGAAUUUCAACUUUAAAUGGUAGGUCGACAUGAUGGCUCGGAGGGCAUUGAGGCCAGGUCGGCCGAGGAUUGAGUUGUAAGCUGACGGCGCCUUCACCACCAGGAAAUUCACCAGAGCCCUGGAUUAUCUUGGAUAUCGGCCCGUAGCUACAGUCAAAGUCACUAUUCCCUCCAUCGGGGAAGUAAUCAGUCUCAAAUGGCCGUCAAGGAUGGACAUUCUCGAAAAGGCAUCGUAGAACAAAAUAUCGGCCGAACUUUCAUUGUCGACAAGAAUGCGGCGGACGUCGUAGUUUGCUAU